This 494-nucleotide ribosomal RNA is filed under the name uncultured bacterium. Its description in RNAcentral is "partial 16S ribosomal RNA". It matches the Rfam family "Bacterial small subunit ribosomal RNA", at positions 28 to 507 of the family's 1533-position model. The record is from RNAcentral.
GACGAACGCUGGCGGCGUGCUUAACACAUGCAAGUCGAACGGAAAGGCCUGCUUUCCCUUGUGGAUUGCGGGUACUCGAGUGGCGAACGGGUGAGUAACACGUGAGUGAUCUGCCCCCAACUUGGGUAUAAGCCUGGGAAACUGGGUCUAAUUACCGAUAGGACUGCAGGGUGGUGCCUGUGGUGGAAAACGAUUUUCUAGUGGUUGGGGAUGAGCUCGCGGCCUAUCAGCUUGUUGGUGGGGCAAUGGCCUACCAAGGCGGCGACGGGUAGCCGGCCUGAGAGGGUGGACGGCCACAUUGGGACUGGGAUACGGCCCAUACGCCUACGGGAGGCAGGAGUGGGGAAUAUUGCGGAGUGGGCGGAAGCCUGAUGCAGCGACGCCGCGUGGGGGAUGACGGCCUUCGGGUUGUAAACUCCUUUCGACCGCGAGGAAGCCACCUGGUUGGAAGGGUGGUGACGGUAGUGGUAGAAGAAGCACCGGCUAACUACGUG